This 268-nucleotide unclassified non-coding RNA is filed under the name plant metagenome. RNAcentral's name for it is "partial contains 5.8S ribosomal RNA, internal transcribed spacer 2, and large subunit ribosomal RNA". The stretch from base 1 to 114 matches the Rfam family "5.8S ribosomal RNA", at positions 50 to 154 of the family's 154-position model. The record is from RNAcentral.
GAAAGGCGAAACGUAAUGUGAAUCGCAACUAACAGUGAAUCAUCGAAUCUUUGAACGCAGGCCGCGCCUUGCAUAUCACUUGUGUUAUCGCAAGGCAUCUACGUAUGAGUGUCAGCCUAUCAUCCUUUUGGUUUAAUAAUAAUAUUAUUUAUUAUUGAAUCCAUUAUGCGAGUAUCAUUUAUUUGAUACACGCGUUUAACAAAGUUUGUGUCUGGCCUCAUAUGUGGAAGGUUACCCGCUGGAUUUAAGCAUAUCAAUAAGCGGAGGA